ACAUACAGACACACGCACACACAUACAUACACACAUACAUACAAACAGACAGGUACACAUACAUACAGACACACACAUACAUACAAACAGUAAGGUACACAUACAUACAGACACACACAUACAUACAAACAGUAAGGUACACAUACAUACAAACACACACAUACAUACAAACAGACAGGUACACAUACACACAUACAGACAGACACAAGACACAAACACACACACAUACAUACAGAUAGACACACACACACACA
Pelobates cultripes (western spadefoot toad) is the source of this 254-nucleotide non-coding RNA. The record is from the annotation of a GenBank genome assembly. NCBI's taxonomy places the organism in Eukaryota, Metazoa, Chordata, Amphibia, Anura, Pelobatidae.